Molecule: unclassified non-coding RNA, 194 nt
Filed under: uncultured Pleosporales
Lineage: Eukaryota; Fungi; Ascomycota; Dothideomycetes; Pleosporales
Description: sequence contains ITS1
Source: RNAcentral
AAUGGCGUGCGAACCGCAUGCGGAUGCGCCCGGGCUGCGGCCUCGGGGAUGGUCGCGUGCGGCUCCUCGCUCUAUACCCUUGCCUAUUUGUAUCCUCUUGUUGUUUCCUCGGCGGGUCCUGACUCGUCGGCGGGAAUUUUCUAAACCUCUUGCAGUAGUAUCCAAUCAUCCUGAUCAAAAGUCUUAAAUCGUUA